CAGCCGCCGCGGGAAUACGGAGGGUGCAAGCGUUAAUCGGAAUUACUGGGCGUAAAGCGCACGCAGGCGGUCUGUCAAGUCAGAUGUGAAAUCCCCGGGCUUAACCUGGGAACUGCAUUUGAAACUGGCAGGCUAGAGUCUUGUAGAGGGGGGUAGAAUUCCAGGUGUAGCGGUGAAAUGCGUAGAGAUCUGGAGGAAUACCGGUGGCGAAGGCGGCCCCCUGGACAAAGACUGACGCUCAGGUGCGAAAGCGUGGGGAGCAAACAGGAUUAGAGACCCGCGUAGUCCCUGUCUCUUAUAA
RNAcentral lists this ribosomal RNA (301 nucleotides) under uncultured bacterium. Its description in RNAcentral is "partial 16S ribosomal RNA". It matches the Rfam family "Bacterial small subunit ribosomal RNA", at positions 509 to 809 of the family's 1533-position model. The record is from RNAcentral.